RNAcentral lists this long non-coding RNA (3201 nucleotides) under Olea europaea (common olive). RNAcentral's name for it is "long non-coding RNA (OEUR_LNC008166)". The record is from RNAcentral. Lineage: Eukaryota; Viridiplantae; Streptophyta; Magnoliopsida; Lamiales; Oleaceae.
UUAAUUGAUUGGAGAAGGUCGAAGUCAAGAACCGAGCCAAGUCGAGACUUCGAAGUAGCUAAUAAAAUUGGUCACUUAUGUAUUUGAACAACAAAGUCUAAAACCAUGAACUUCACGUGUCAAGGAGUAAAUUUGAUGAAGGGGCCGAAGCCUAAUUCAAUUAGGAUUAGCUUGAAAAUUGCAGCCGAAGACGGAGCCAAAAUCAAAGGUUGUGCAACCGCACAGCUUCCAACCCUUGCGGCCGCAUAGGAGCAAACAGGGAAUUUUUCGGCAACAUUCGGAACAACCAUGCAACCGCACUAAAUUGUGCCAUGCGGUCGCAUAGCACUAAACGGAGGCGAAAUCUUUCCUUUUCUCGCGAAGUGCUUUAAUUGGUUGAAUUUCUUAUUUUUGGAAACUCUAAUAUUAUUAGGACUUUAGCACACGGUUUUUCCAUAUUUUAGGAGUUUAUUUUUAUCUUUAAUUAUUUUUCUAUGUUUCUAGUAUAAAUAGGAUUUUCUUUCAUAAUUGUAAUACAAGACUUUAUUGAUGAAGUAAUGAGAGAUUUUCCUCUUCAAAGCGUUGCUUCAGAACUGUCUAUGACGGGCAAUUUUAUCGAAUUUAUCAAGAUUUAAACAUCUUAUGGCGUUCAAAACAUCGGGUUGAAUCAUUAAAUUGUGUAAUCAAGGGGUCUUUCGCGUCAACGUUACCGUUGGAUUUUUUUGGUUCAUCUUUUAUUGGUUCAAAUCCACAAUCUGGGUUUGAUUUCUUCAAUCGUGUGAUCAAGAGGUCCUUCAUAGCAACGUUCUUGUUGGGUUGCUUGGUUCACUAUUUUGGGGUCAGAUCCAUAAACCUCGGUCAUAUUGGCGUUCUUGGGAUCUGAUUCAAUAUCCCGUGGGUUCGAUUGCAACCUUACCGAUCGAGUUCGCAUCAGUUGGUAUCAGAGCUUUAGGCACCAAGAUCAAGAUUAUAUCUUUUCCUUUUCUUAUUGAGUCAGUUUUCAUUUUUUUUAAUUGUUCUUGGAGUCAAUAAUGUUUAGAGUCUUUGAUCCUUAAAAAUAAAAAUAAAAUUAAAUUAAAUCUUGUUUUUGGGCUAAUUUGACAUCCAAAUCCUAUUCCGUUUGUUCCGUUAGCAUCGUAGUCGAAUUUUUCAUCUAGUGAGUCAAAAAAAGAAAAAAAAAAUUGUUUACUGUUCACAGUCACUAUUCAUCCGUGCAGUGUCAAAAAAAAUAAAUUUCAAGAUCUUAUUAUUUGGGUAAAAAAAAAAAAAAUUAUUGUGUCAAAUUCCAAUUCAAAAACCACUUUCUUGAAUUCAUACUAAAGUUCCAAUCAAGGUAGUCUAAUCAGUCAGAAAUUCAAGACCACUUGAAUUUUCAUAAUUCAUUCCAAAUUUUCUGUCAAAUUCCUGAGUCUUUGAAAAUUCUCGAGUUUCACCCACAACCCAAUUGAAUUAUGUCUGAAACGAUGAUGCGGCGAUUGGAGAAAAUGUUGGUGAAUAUGGAAGAUAGGUUGGGAAAUAAGUUGGAUAGGAUUGAUGUGAAAUUGAAGGAGAUUCAUCGGGAUCAAUGUGAUGAGGUGCUCAAUGUUAGACGACGGGAACCUAGAAUUAAAAUGUGUGAUGUCUAUGGAUAUGGUGGUGGUAUUGAUGAGGUACGGGGAUUAAGGAAUAAAUAUGAUCAAUCCGAAGAAAAGGAUAGAAAUCAUUUUGGAGGUGUUGGUAGGAAUGUGGAAAAUGGCAAAAUAUCACUUCCACGAUUUAAGGGUAGGGACAAUCCCGAGGCAUACUUUGCAUGGGAAGAACGGGUAGAAUUAAUGUUUGACUGCCAUGACUACUCCGAUGAGAGAAAAUUAAAGUUAGUUAUGUACACUUUUGUGGGUUAUGCAACUACUUGGUACGAUCAGUUGACAAACUAGUGGAAGAAUGGAAAUAGGCGUAUUGAAACUUGGGAUGAAUUGAGAACUAUAAUGAGGAAGCGAUAUGCGCCUAAUUAUUUUUAUAAACCGGAUCAGUGUGAGCGAGAAUUUAGGGAGAAGCCUAGUAGACAUUAUGGAGAUGGGUAUCUAAUGGAAAAGGGCGAGACAAAUUUUCCACAAAAAGAGAGCUCUAGAGAAAAUAGUGAGGUGGUCAAUUGUGAGGACAAAGUAGAUGAGCCACAAGAAAAUAAAAAGGAGAUCGAGAGUAAAAAUGAGAAUAAAGAAGUGGUUAAAUUAGAAGUGGAAAAUGGAGUAGGGUCUUUGGAGGUAAAUGAAGUGAUGGAAGUGAGCUUGGAUGAAAAUGAAAGAGGAGUUGAGAAGGCUUUAUCAGAAACUAAUAAUUCCCUCCCUAUUUUGGACAUUCCAUUUUUGCAGGUUAUCGGAGAUUUAGUCCAUGACGCUGAGCCAAUUGGGAUUCCUUACAACCCGGGCAUUGAUAAUCAAUUGGUGGAUAAUGCUCAACAACAUCAUCUUGGUUUGGAAUUCUCUUCAAAACCAAACAUUGAAUUUGUGAUCCCUGAGGAAGUGAUGGAGUAUCAAAGGCCAUGGAAGCAAUUUAUUUGCAGGGAGCUGAAAUACCAAAGUGAUAUGCCAUUAAAAAUGCAUCCCAUUGGAGUGACAAUGCUACAUUUGCCCAGGCCGAGUAUGAGUAACGCAAGAAAAAAGAUUGGAGAUUUAUCAGCUGAAUUUAUUUUUGGAACAUCACAAGCUUGCAAAAAGAAACCAUCCAAGCGUAAGCACUUCAAUCUUUGUGAAGGAGAUUGGGUUUUUAUAUGCAAGAGGAGGACAAGAAUUCAAAAGCGGUCCAAGUUUCAACCUAGAGGCGGUGGACCAUUUCACGUCAUUGCAUUAAUUGGAAACAAGGGCUAUAAUUUGGAAAUUGAAGGUUUGGAUUCGAGGUCGAAUCCUUUUGAAGAGAGGGGGAUGAUAUGAUCCCGGGUGCACCAUCAAUUUCCAAGAAUUCAUUAAUUGAUUGGAGAAGGUCGAAGUCAAGAACCAAGCCAAGUCGAGACUUCGAAGUAGCUAAUAAAAUUGGUCACUUAUGUAUUUGAGCAACGAAGUCUAAAACCAUGAAGUUCACGUGUCAAGGAGUAAAUUUGAUGAAGGGGCCGAAGCCUAAUUCAAUUAGGAUUAGCUUGAUAAUUGUAGCCGAAGACGGAGCCAAAAUCAAAGGUUGUGCGACCGCACAGCUUCCAACCCUUGCGGUCGCAUAGGAGCAAACAGGGAAUUUUUCGGCAACAUUUGGAAC